RNAcentral lists this transfer RNA (90 nucleotides) under Caballeronia udeis. Its description in RNAcentral is "Paraburkholderia udeis tRNA-Cys". The record is from RNAcentral. Lineage: Bacteria; Pseudomonadati; Pseudomonadota; Betaproteobacteria; Burkholderiales; Burkholderiaceae.
CGUGCCGUCGCUCGGAGUGGGCGCGGUGCUGCAGACGCUGCUCGGACUGGCAAUCGUGAUUGCAUUCGUGUUCGGCUGCGCAUGGCUCGC